RNA transcript from Juglans microcarpa x Juglans regia, 1230 nucleotides. RefSeq lists it as uncharacterized. The transcript is spliced from 4 exons. The record is from RefSeq and is a predicted model, not a curated record. Lineage: Eukaryota; Viridiplantae; Streptophyta; Magnoliopsida; Fagales; Juglandaceae.
UUAGUUAUUUCUCCGCCUACUCCUUUUCUUGUUACGAUGGAAUUCAUAUCAAAGGUCGAGGUUUGCGAUAAGUUUUUAAUUUUUUUCAGAGAUAACCCUUCACGCCUCCAUCCGAGUCUACGUUUCCUGCCUCUUUCCGAAUAUACAAAUUACAAAUCUGAAAUCUUUCUUUUUCUCGCUCCCCGUGGAAGAUUGCGAAACCUGCGCUGUUUUGAUGAACUAGGGAAGAGUUGAGUACAAGAAAUGCCUGUCAGAAAAACUGAUUUUUUUAAGUCGAGAAAAUAUUUCCCGAACCAGCUGGAACUGCCCCAACAACAUCCUGAUGAGCAGGAAAAAAAUACAUCUUAUGUAUCUGCAUCUGCAUCAACUCCUAUAGCUUCUCUGAUAACUGUUUUGCCCGGUAGACCACCAGUUUCUAUUUUUCUUAAAGAGCCUGGCAAUUGUUGUCCAGCUGCUGAAUCCAAUCACCUUCGGUUUACUUCUGAACAUGGCAUUCCUCAUUCAGCUGAUUCUAGGGGGAACACUGAUAAUGAAAGGAAAGAACAGUUACUAUAUAUACAGAAGCUUUUGAACCUCCACGAAGAGUAUGAUAAGAGGGAUAACAUUCAAAGUAAGACACUGUAGCCCAGUGUGUUUUGUCAUUUAUCAUCUGUUGAGCUUAGCAGAUAUGCCGUCAAUUUGGAGAAAAGAUCAAUCCAGCUAUCAAUCGAGGAAGUGAAAGAGAUCAGAAGGAUGAAUGCUUUAAAUAUAUUUGGAAAGUCUUCACCAACCAGCCAUCCCUCGCCAACAUUUCAACAAGUUCAAACCAAAAGGUGAAUGGCGAUUCGAUAUAAAUUUGUUAAAUUCUAGUGAUUUUGCUGAUGACCAGGUAAAUUUUGAAUCUGCUUCAAUUUCUUCAUUUUUCCUUUCCAUCUUUUUGGUUGGCCUGAAACGAUUCUACCUCUUUUUGGUUACUGAGAGCCUUGCGCUUAGGAUCGGAAUUUACUAAUUAUAAUCUGUCAUCUUUACCUUUGAGCGAUAGAAUUAGUGACGGAUGGGGAAUAAUUUUCAAUAUGACCCCUUCUUUCACGGUGGAUGAAGAAAGUCUUAUCAAAUAUCAGUCUCUGCUGUUUCCUUAACUAGAAUGAAAGGCGUAGUGAAAUGGUUUGAGAUAAUAUGCUUGAUUGGAUUUUGGGAAAUGAGUGGAAAAAAAUUGAAUAAAAAUAUUAUAAAAUUAAAAUGUUAUUAGAA